AGUGAACGCUGGCGGUAUGCCUAACACAUGCAAGUCGAACGGCAGCACAGUAAGAGUUUGCUUUUACGGGUGGCGAGUGGCGGAUGGGUGAGGAAUACAUCGGAAUCUUCUUUUUCUUGGGUGAUAACGUAGGGCAACUGACGCUAAUACCUCAUACGAUCUACGGCUGAAAGCAGGAGAUCUUCGGACCUUUCGCGAUUGUAUGAGCUGAUGUCGGAUUAGCUAGUUGGCGAGGUAAAGGCCCACCAAGGCGACGAUCCGUAGCCGGACUGAGAGGAUGAUCGGCCACACUGGAACUGAGACACGGUCCAGACUCCUACGGGAGGCAGCAGUAGGGAAUCUUGGGCAAUGGGCGAAAGCCUGACCCAGCAAUGCCGCGUGAGUGAAGAAGGCCUUCGGAUCGUAAAACCCUUUUGUUAGGGAAGAAAAACAGCGGAAUUAACUAUGGAUGUUCUGACGGUACCCAAAGAAAAAGCACCGGCUAACUUCGUG
This 492-nucleotide ribosomal RNA is filed under the name uncultured bacterium. RNAcentral's name for it is "partial 16S ribosomal RNA". It matches the Rfam family "Bacterial small subunit ribosomal RNA", at positions 29 to 507 of the family's 1533-position model. The record is from RNAcentral.